This 554-nucleotide ribosomal RNA is filed under the name Salmonella enterica subsp. enterica serovar Saintpaul. RNAcentral describes it as "partial 23S ribosomal RNA". It matches the Rfam family "Bacterial large subunit ribosomal RNA", at positions 1 to 588 of the family's 2925-position model. Lineage: Bacteria; Pseudomonadati; Pseudomonadota; Gammaproteobacteria; Enterobacterales; Enterobacteriaceae. The record is from RNAcentral.
UUGUGAGGUUAAGCGACUAAGCGUACACGGUGGAUGCCCUGGCAGUCAGAGGCGAUGAAGGACGUGCUAAUCUGCGAUAAGCGCCGGUAAGGUGAUAUGAACCGUUAUAACCGGCGAUUUCCGAAUGGGGAAACCCAGUGUGACUCGUCACACUAUCAUUAACUGAAUCCAUAGGUUAAUGAGGCGAACCGGGGGAACUGAAACAUCUAAGUACCCCGAGGAAAAGAAAUCAACCGAGAUUCCCCCAGUAGCGGCGAGCGAACGGGGAGGAGCCCAGAGCCUGAAUCAGCAUGUGUGUUAGUGGAAGCGUCUGGAAAGGCGCGCGAUACAGGGUGACAGCCCCGUACACAAAAGCGCAUGUGCUGUGAGCUCGAUGAGUAGGGCGGGACACGUGGUAUCCUGUCUGAAUAUGGGGGGACCAUCCUCCAAGGCUAAAUACUCCUGACUGACCGAUAGUGAACCAGUACCGUGAGGGAAAGGCGAAAAGAACCCCGGCGAGGGGAGUGAAAAAGAACCUGAAACCGUGUACGUACAAGCAGUGGGAGCACAGGUUU